UACGGGGGGGGCAAGCGUUGUUCGGAAUUACUGGGCGUAAAGGGCUCGUAGGUGGCCAACUAAGUCAGACGUGAAAUCCCCAGGCUCAACUUGGGAACUGCGUCUGAUACUGGAGGGCUUGAGUAUGGGAGAGGGAUGUAGAAUUCCAGGUGUAGCGGUGAAAUGCGUAGAUAUCUGGAGGAACACCGGUGGCGAAGGCGGCAUCCUGGACCGGCAUUGACGCUGAGGCGCGAAAGCUAGGGGAGCAAACGGG
RNAcentral lists this ribosomal RNA (253 nucleotides) under uncultured bacterium. Its description in RNAcentral is "partial 16S ribosomal RNA". It matches the Rfam family "Bacterial small subunit ribosomal RNA", at positions 524 to 776 of the family's 1533-position model. The record is from RNAcentral.